Haemorhous mexicanus (house finch) is the source of this 463-nucleotide long non-coding RNA. RefSeq lists it as uncharacterized. The record is from RefSeq and is a predicted model, not a curated record. Lineage: Eukaryota; Metazoa; Chordata; Aves; Passeriformes; Fringillidae. The transcript has 2 exons.
GGGUCACUGCGAGUCGCGCGCCGGCCCCGCCCCCCGCGCGCUGCUGGACGCCGGAGGGCGCCCCCUGCUGGCCGAGGCGCGCUGCUGCACCAUGGAGCACGUGACCAGGGUGCAGCUGACCCUGCGCUGCCCGGGUGGGGCCCGGCGGCUCCGGACGGUGUCAGCGGCGUCCUGCAGGUGCGACCUGUGCCGGGGGGGGCGCUACUGAGCGGAGCGACCGGGACCGCCCCGGAACCGACCGGAACCGCUCCGGGAUGGACCGGAACCGCUCCGGGAUCGACCGGAACCCGCCUGGAAUGGACCGGAACCGACCGGGACCACCCCGGAACCGACCGGAACCGCUCCGGGAUCGACCGGAACCCGCCUGGAAUGGACCAGAACCGACCGGGACCGCCCCCCAGAAAUCCUCUAUUGACCCAAAAACUUUUUAUGGCGCCUAAAAAACCCUUUAAUGACCCCAAAA